RNAcentral lists this ribosomal RNA (320 nucleotides) under uncultured bacterium. Its description in RNAcentral is "bacterial SSU rRNA". It matches the Rfam family "Bacterial small subunit ribosomal RNA", at positions 1053 to 1374 of the family's 1533-position model. The record is from RNAcentral.
CGUCAGCUCGUGUCGUGAGAUGUUGGGUUAAGUCCCGCAACGAGCGCAACCCUUGCCUUUAGUUGCCAGCAUUGAGUUGGGCACUCUAAAGGGACUGCCGGUGUUAAACCGGAGGAAGGUGGGGAUGACGUCAAGUCCUCAUGGCCCCUAUGUCCAGGGCUACACACGUGCUACAAUGGUCGAUACAAAGGGCUGCGAACCCGCGAGGGGGGGCUAAUCUCAAAAAAUCGGCCUCAGUUCGGAUCGGAGUCUGCAACUCGACUCCGUGAAGUUGGAAUCGCUAGUAAUCGCGGAUCAGCAUGCCGCGGUGAAUACGUUCC